GGGUCAGUAGGUUGGUCGUGCCACCGGUACGUACUGGUCUCACUGAUUCCUCCUUCUUGAAGAACCGUAAUGCCAUUAAUUUGGUGUUGCGGGGAAACAGGACUGUUACUUUGAAAAAAUUAGAGUGUUUAAAGCAAGCUAACGCUUGAAUACAUUAGCAUGGAAUAAUGAAAUAGGACGAUCGAUCCUAUUUUGUUGGUUUCUAGGAUUGACGUA
RNAcentral lists this ribosomal RNA (216 nucleotides) under Glomeromycotina sp. Its description in RNAcentral is "partial small subunit ribosomal RNA". The stretch from base 40 to 216 matches the Rfam family "Eukaryotic small subunit ribosomal RNA", at positions 686 to 864 of the family's 1831-position model. Lineage: Eukaryota; Fungi; Glomeromycota. The record is from RNAcentral.